RNAcentral lists this long non-coding RNA (852 nucleotides) under Pan troglodytes (chimpanzee). RNAcentral's name for it is "long non-coding RNA NONPTRT007347". The record is from RNAcentral. Lineage: Eukaryota; Metazoa; Chordata; Mammalia; Primates; Hominidae.
AUAAAACUUGAUUUACACAAACAAGUUGUUUGCAAUCCCUGGAUCAGAAGGAACGUUUACUACCCUGUAUCAUGUCUCUGUAGGCUCUCCCUUAUGGAUAGGAGUUCCCAAUUUCUGGUGUGUGUGUUAUACAGUAAUUAGGUAUAGGAUCAAACCCUGUUUAACUGUUUAUCUGUUGGAUUUCAGGAGGCUGGUGGCAUGUUGUCCUCAAUCUCGACACUACUAUCGCCAUCACCCAAAAUUUUGCCAGCAGCACCAACUUCCCUGUGGUAUGGCACAAGACGGUAAGAGGGAGACCAAAGUUAUCAAGGAAAUGGUAUAGAUACAGCACGGGCAGCGGCAGUGCAAGCCACCCACAGCCACCCCGUGCCACUGUGUCCCAACCCUGACCUGGAGGGACCAGCUCUCGGGGAUCUUGAAGCAAGAGCACCCCGAGUUGGCAGUCCUGGCAGACUCGGUUGACCUUCAGGAGUCCACAGGGAUAGCUUCCGACAGCUCCAGCGACUCUUCCAGCUCCUCCAGCUCCAGUUCGUCAGACUCCGACUCAGAGUGCGAGUCUGGAUCCGAGGGCGAUGGGACAGUGCACCGCAGGAAGAAGAGGAGGACGUGCAGCAUGGUGGGAAACGGGGACACCACCUCCCAGGACGACUGUGUCAGCAAAGAGCGCAGCUCCUCCAGGAUUAGGGACACUUGUGGAGGCCGGGCUCACCCCUGAGCAGAUAAAGAGACUCUCCCUGAGGUGCUUUCAGCGUAAGCUUUUGGCAGCCACCCAACUCAGUUCUCGCGUCUUCUGCUCCUACCUUCUCCUCUGUCUUCUUUGAAUUUGGAUAUUCCUUCCCUGGUCCAAGCUCC